RNAcentral lists this long non-coding RNA (331 nucleotides) under Ananas comosus (pineapple). RNAcentral describes it as "long non-coding RNA (ACOM_LNC035069)". The record is from RNAcentral. Lineage: Eukaryota; Viridiplantae; Streptophyta; Magnoliopsida; Poales; Bromeliaceae.
UUGUCGAAAACUUCAGGGUGAUCUGAAGGAGUUAAAGCGACAGAAGGAGCAAAUUGUCGUGAACCAGGACGAGACGGUAUCAGCGAUGGCGCAGACAGCAGAGUCGGAGAUGAUCGAUUCUGAUGUGCUAUAUGCGGCGACCGGAGGUGCGAAAAUUUCGGACGAUGCUUGGGUGCUCGAUUCGGCGUGUUCUUUUCACGUAUGCCCGGAAGAGUCUUUUGCCACCUAUAAGGCGAUCAAAGGUGGAAAGGCGCUGAUGGGGAACGGGACAACGUGCAAAGUAUUGGGAGUCGACAUGGUGAAAAUUCGAAUGCACAAUGGGGUCGUGAGG